Molecule: ribosomal RNA, 500 nt
Filed under: uncultured bacterium
Lineage: Bacteria
Description: partial 16S ribosomal RNA
Rfam family: Bacterial small subunit ribosomal RNA
Source: RNAcentral
AUUGAACGCUGGCGGAAUGCUUUACACAUGCAAGUCGAACGGCAGCACGGACUUCGGUCUGGUGGCGAGUGGCGAACGGGUGAGUAAUAUAUCGGAACGUGCCCAGUCGUGGGGGAUAACGUAGUGAAAAUUACGCUAAUACCGCAUACGAUCUAUGGAUGAAAGCGGGGGAUCGCAAGACCUCGCGCGAUUGGAGCGGCCGAUAUCAGAUUAGGUAGUUGGUGAGGUAAAGGCUCACCAAGCCAACGAUCUGUAGCUGGUCUGAGAGGACGACCAGCCACACUGGAACUGAGACACGGUCCAGACUCCUACGGGAGGCAGCAGUGGGGAAUUUUGGACAAUGGACGUAAGUCUGAUCCAGCCAUUCCGCGUGCAGGACGAAGGCCUUCGGGUUGUAAACUGCUUUUGUACGGAACGAAAAGGUCUCUAUUAAUACUAGGGGCUCAUGACGGUACCGUAAGAAUAAGCACCGGCUAACUACGUGCCAGCAGCCGCAGUAA